RNAcentral lists this ribosomal RNA (1032 nucleotides) under Escherichia coli. RNAcentral describes it as "partial 23S ribosomal RNA". It matches the Rfam family "Bacterial large subunit ribosomal RNA", at positions 715 to 1746 of the family's 2925-position model. Lineage: Bacteria; Pseudomonadati; Pseudomonadota; Gammaproteobacteria; Enterobacterales; Enterobacteriaceae. The record is from RNAcentral.
CCGAAACCCGGUGAUCUAGCCAUGGGCAGGUUGAAGGUUGGGUAACACUAACUGGAGGACCGAACCGACUAAUGUUGAAAAAUUAGCGGAUGACUUGUGGCUGGGGGUGAAAGGCCAAUCAAACCGGGAGAUAGCUGGUUCUCCCCGAAAGCUAUUUAGGUAGCGCCUCGUGAAUUCAUCUCCGGGGGUAGAGCACUGUUUCGGCAAGGGGGUCAUCCCGACUUACCAACCCGAUGCAAACUGCGAAUACCGGAGAAUGUUAUCACGGGAGACACACGGCGGGUGCUAACGUCCGUCGUGAAGAGGGAAACAACCCAGACCGCCAGCUAAGGUCCCAAAGUCAUGGUUAAGUGGGAAACGAUGUGGGAAGGCCCAGACAGCCAGGAUGUUGGCUUAGAAGCAGCCAUCAUUUAAAGAAAGCGUAAUAGCUCACUGGUCGAGUCGGCCUGCGCGGAAGAUGUAACGGGGCUAAACCAUGCACCGAAGCUGCGGCAGCGACGCUUAUGCGUUGUUGGGUAGGGGAGCGUUCUGUAAGCCUGUGAAGGUGUGCUGUGAGGCAUGCUGGAGGUAUCAGAAGUGCGAAUGCUGACAUAAGUAACGAUAAAGCGGGUGAAAAGCCCGCUCGCCGGAAGACCAAGGGUUCCUGUCCAACGUUAAUCGGGGCAGGGUGAGUCGACCCCUAAGGCGAGGCCGAAAGGCGUAGUCGAUGGGAAACAGGUUAAUAUUCCUGUACUUGGUGUUACUGCGAAGGGGGGACGGAGAAGGCUAUGUUGGCCGGGCGACGGUUGUCCCGGUUUAAGCGUGUAGGCUGGUUUUCCAGGCAAAUCCGGAAAAUCAAGGCUGAGGCGUGAUGACGAGGCACUACGGUGCUGAAGCAACAAAUGCCCUGCUUCCAGGAAAAGCCUCUAAGCAUCAGGUAACAUCAAAUCGUACCCCAAACCGACACAGGUGGUCAGGUAGAGAAUACCAAGGCGCUUGAGAGAACUCGGGUGAAGGAACUAGGCAAAAUGGUGCCGUAACUUCGGGAGAAGG